RNAcentral lists this ribosomal RNA (425 nucleotides) under uncultured bacterium. Its description in RNAcentral is "partial 16S ribosomal RNA". It matches the Rfam family "Bacterial small subunit ribosomal RNA", at positions 354 to 796 of the family's 1533-position model. The record is from RNAcentral.
GUGGGGAAUCUUGCGCAAUGGGCGAAAGCCUGACGCAGCCAUGCCGCGUGAAUGAUGAAGGUCUUAGGAUUGUAAAAUUCUUUCACCGGGGACGAUAAUGACGGUACCCGGAGAAGAAGCCCCGGCUAACUUCGUGCCAGCAGCCGCGGUAAUACGAAGGGGGCUAGCGUUGCUCGGAAUUACUGGGCGUAAAGGGCGCGUAGGCGGACAGUUUAGUCAGAGGUGAAAGCCCAGGGCUCAACCUUGGAAUUGCCUUUGAUACUGGCGGUCUUGAGUACGGGAGAGGUGAGUGGAACUCCGAGUGUAGAGGUGAAAUUCGUAGAUAUUCGGAAGAACACCAGUGGCGAAGGCGACUCACUGGCCCGUUACUGACGCUGAGGCGCGAAAGCGUGGGGAGCAAACAGGAUUAGAAACCCGGGUAGUCC